RNAcentral lists this ribosomal RNA (405 nucleotides) under uncultured bacterium. RNAcentral's name for it is "bacterial SSU rRNA". It matches the Rfam family "Bacterial small subunit ribosomal RNA", at positions 355 to 776 of the family's 1533-position model. The record is from RNAcentral.
UCGAGAAUCUUCCUCAAUGGCCGAAAGGCUGAAGGAGCAAUGCCGCGUGAUCGAAGAAGCCCCUCGGGGUGUAAAGAUCUUUUAUCAGGGACGAAUUUUGACGGUACCUGAUGAAUCAGCCACUGCUAACUUCGUGCCAGCAGCAGCGGUAAUACGAAGGUGGCAAGCGUUAUCCGGAUUGAUUGGGCGUAAAGCGUCCGCAGAUGGUUUGAUAAGUCGUGGGUCAAAUCUUGAAGCUCAACUUCAAGGCUGCUCACGAAACUAUCAUUCUAGAGACUGGAAGAGGCAAGCGGAAUUAUCGGUGUAGCGGUAAAAUGCGUUAAUAUCGAUAAGAACACCAAAAGCGAAAGCAGCUUGCUGGUACAGUUCUGACAUUAAGGGACGAAAGCGUGGGGAGCGAAUGGG